Molecule: ribosomal RNA, 225 nt
Filed under: uncultured Vogesella sp.
Lineage: Bacteria; Pseudomonadati; Pseudomonadota; Betaproteobacteria; Neisseriales; Chromobacteriaceae
Description: partial 16S ribosomal RNA
Rfam family: Bacterial small subunit ribosomal RNA
Source: RNAcentral
UGCGCAGGCGGUUUGAUAAGCCAGAUGUGAAAUCCCCGAGCUCAACUUGGGAACUGCGUUUGGAACUGUCAGACUAGAGUGCGUCAGAGGGGGGUGGAAUUCCGCGUGUAGCAGUGAAAUGCGUAGAUAUUAGGAGGAACACCAGUGGCGAAGGCGACUUUCUGGACUGUAACUGACGCUGAGGCGCGAAAGCGUGGGGAGCAAACAGGAUUAGAUACCCUCGUA